This 414-nucleotide unclassified non-coding RNA is filed under the name Hevea brasiliensis (rubber tree). The record is from RNAcentral. Lineage: Eukaryota; Viridiplantae; Streptophyta; Magnoliopsida; Malpighiales; Euphorbiaceae.
AAAAAAUUGGAGUCAAGUUGAAGUCAGAGAGCAAUUGAAGAAAAGUGAAAGUGAACUGUUGCUUUAUAUUUGUCAUUUUUGAGGAGAUUGGGUUGUGGGAAAUCAGUGGUUUCUUGAUCUGUUGUUAGUUUAUUGUUAUUGAUGAUUCAGGAGCUGAUUUGAUCUGAUUGGAGUUGUUUAAUUAAUGGCUGCUUCCAUUAGCUUACCUGUUGGUUCUCUUGUUUGGGUGGAGGAUCCUGAUGUAGCCUGGAUAGAUGGGGAAGUUUUGGAGGUUAAUGGUUCAGACGUGAAGGUUCUUUGCACUUCUGGUAAAACGGUUGUUGUUAAGUCUUCUAAUGUCUAUGCCAAAGAUGCUGAAGCUCCGCCAUCUGGUGUGGAUGAUAUGACGAAGCUGGCUUAUUUGCAUGAACCAGG